Molecule: ribosomal RNA, 515 nt
Filed under: uncultured bacterium
Lineage: Bacteria
Description: partial 16S ribosomal RNA
Rfam family: Bacterial small subunit ribosomal RNA
Source: RNAcentral
GAUGAACGCUGGCGGCGUGCCUAAUACAUGCAAGUCGAGCGAAUGGAUUAAGAGCUUGCUCUUAUGAAGUUAGCGGCGGACGGGUGAGUAACACGUGGGUAACCUGCCCAUAAGACUGGGAUAACUCCGGGAAACCGGGGCUAAUACCGGAUAACAUUUUGAACCGCAUGGUUCGAAAUUGAAAGGCGGCUUCGGCUGUCACUUAUGGAUGGACCCGCGUCGCAUUAGCUAGUUGGUGAGGUAACGGCUCACCAAGGCAACGAUGCGUAGCCGACCUGAGGGGGGGAUCGGCCACACUGGGACUGAGACACGGCCCAGACUCCUACGGGAGGCAGCCGUAGGGAAUCUUCCGCAAUGGACGAAAGUCUGACGGAGCAACGCCGCGUGAGUGAUGAAGGCUUUCGGGUCGUAAAACUCUGUUGUUAGGGAAGAACAAGUGCUAGUUGAAUAAGCUGGCACCUUGACGGUACCUAACCAGAAAGCCACGGCUAACUACGUGCCAGCAGCCGCGGUAA